This is a long non-coding RNA of Salvia splendens (bonfire salvia), 1002 nucleotides long. RefSeq lists it as uncharacterized. The transcript is spliced from 2 exons. NCBI's taxonomy places the organism in Eukaryota, Viridiplantae, Streptophyta, Magnoliopsida, Lamiales, Lamiaceae. The record is from RefSeq and is a predicted model, not a curated record.
AAUUUAAAUAACAAAUUUAUUAACACAAAGAAUCAAGUAAAUAAAUAAGAUGCAUACAUCCUAAAACUUCGAUUAUUUUUAUCGAUAAGAUUUCAAAUUUUUCCAAUUAGAAACUUAGGUAUUUCGUUUAAACUUAGGUAUUUCGUUUAAUUUCGGCCGGCCGCUCACGUUUUCAACAAGCUCGUGUCCUCGUUCUCAAAAUUCUUCUUCUCCUUCAGUGUGAGUUCAUAAAACAUUAUAAUUUAACUCUCGCCCCAACAAUAAUAAAAGCAGCAGCACGCACAUUUAAUCCAUUCUAGUCCAAACAAAAUUUCCGUAGGCCCAAACAUAAUCAUACCGCCCACUAUUAUUAAUUUGCCCAAACCAAAAAUAGUGUAGAAGCCCAAGUCUAAAACAAACCCAAUCAAUUAUUUGGCCCAAAAUAAAAGAAGUAAACAAGGAAAAAAGGAAUAAAGUAUUAGUGGUAAAACAAUAGAAAUGAAACAUAUACUCCCACUCCGUCAUACACACGUACACCCUCCAACUUUAACAAUCAUCAAAUAUUUUAAAGAAAUAAAGCAAAAGAAUGACAAAAUACUCUCUCCUUUCUUCCCAAAAAUGGGACUCAAGCACACCUCCAGAAAGGAAAUUUCCGUCGACACGAAUUGAAUAGAAAUUAGAGCUCCGUCUCCCUCAUGCUCUCGCCGACCACAUCGAAAACGAUAUUUCCAAUUCACCGCUGCAGAUCGCCGUCGCACUGCCCCAAUCGACCGGUCACUGCCUCGAUCCACCCCGAUUUGCCCCGUUUCCCCAUUAAAGAUUAUGGGAGAAGGCGAGAAAUCGCUUCAAGAUGGGAGAGGAGAAAUCUUUGCAGAUUUAAUUUUUUGCAAUUGAAGAUCUUAGAAUUUAAUUAAAUUAAUUUGGGCUCAGAUCCCUUGUAUUUUAUUUAAAUUGUGUAGCUCAUACUUUAUAAGUAUUUUACAAGAUUGGAUUUGUAUCAUUUAUUUAAUUUAUCGGAUCCAA